UAUGGCCACAACACAUUGAAAAAACAGUUCUCAUAUGAUCACCAAAGUUAAGCAAUGUUGAGCCUGAUCAGUACAUUGAUGGGUGAACACUUGGGAAUACCAGGUUCUGUAAG
Molecule: non-coding RNA, 113 nt
Organism: Acanthosepion pharaonis
Lineage: Eukaryota; Metazoa; Mollusca; Cephalopoda; Sepiida; Sepiidae
Source: the annotation of a GenBank genome assembly